UGGGGAAUAUUGGACAAUGGGCGCAAGCCUGAUCCAGCAAUGCCGCGUGUGUGAAGAAGGCCUUCGGGUUGUAAAGCACUUUUAUCAGGAGCGAAACGCUGUCGGCUAAUACCCGGCGGAACUGACGGUACCUGAGGAAUAAGCACCGGCUAACUUCGUGCCAGCAGCCGCGGUAAUACGAAGGGUGCAAGCGUUAAUCGGAAUUACUGGGCGUAAAGCGUGCGUAGGCGGUUUCUUAAGUCUGCUGUGAAAUCCCCGGGCUCAACCUGGGAAUGGCAGUGGAUACUGGGAGGCUAGAGUGUGUCAGAGGGUGGUGGAAUUCCCGGUGUAGCGGUGAAGUGCGUAGAGAUCGGGAGGAACAUCAGUGGCGAAGGCGGCCACCUGGGACAACACUGACGCUGAGGCACGAAAGCGUGGGGAGCAAACAGGAUUAGAUACCCUGGUAGUCCACGCCCUAAACGAUGCGAACUGGAUGUUGGUCUCAACUCGGAGAUCAGUGUCGAAGCUAACGCGUUAAGUUCGCCGCCUGGGGGAGUACGGUCGCAAGACUGAAACUUAAAUGAAUUGACGGGGUCAUAGCUGUUUCCUG
RNAcentral lists this ribosomal RNA (589 nucleotides) under uncultured bacterium. RNAcentral's name for it is "partial 16S ribosomal RNA". It matches the Rfam family "Bacterial small subunit ribosomal RNA", at positions 355 to 1376 of the family's 1533-position model. The record is from RNAcentral.